Molecule: ribosomal RNA, 1463 nt
Filed under: uncultured Bordetella sp.
Lineage: Bacteria; Pseudomonadati; Pseudomonadota; Betaproteobacteria; Burkholderiales; Alcaligenaceae
Description: partial 16S-23S ribosomal RNA intergenic spacer
Rfam family: Bacterial small subunit ribosomal RNA
Source: RNAcentral
GGUUCGAUCAUGGCUCAGAUUGAACGCUGGCGGGAUGCUUUACACAUGCAAGUCGAACGGCGGCACGGACUUCGGUCUGGUGGGAGGGCGAACGGGUGAGUAGUGUAUCGGAACGUGCCUAGUAGCGGGGGAUAACUACGCGAAAGGUAGCUACUAACGCAUACGCCCUUCGGGGAAAGCGGGGACCUUCGGGCCUCGCACUAUUAGAGCGGCCGAUAUCGGAUUAGCUAGUUGGUGGGGUAACGGCUCAUCAAGGCGACGAUCCGUAGCUGGUUUGAGAGUGACGACCAGCCACACGGGGACUGAGACACGGCCCAGACUCCUACGGAGGCAGGGAACUUUGGACAAUGGGGAAACCCUGAUCCAGCCAUCCCGCGUGUGCGAUGAAGGCCUUCGGGUUGUGGGUGCCACUUGCAGGAAAGAAACGCAGCACGGGAUAAUACUCCAGGCAACUGACGGUACCUGCAGAAUAAGCACCGGCUAACUACGCGCCAGCAGCCGCGGUAAUACGUAGGUGCGUUAAUCGGAAUUACUGGGCGUAAAGGCGCAGGCGGUUCGGAAAGAAAGAUGUGAAAUCCCAGAGCUUAACUUUGGAACUACAUUUUUAACUACCGAGCUAGAGUGUGUCAGAGUGGGAGGUGGAAUUUGCGUGCAGUGAAACGCGUAGAUAUGCGGAGGAACACCGAUGGCGAAGGCAGCCUCCUGGGAUAACACUGACGCUCAUGCACGAAAGCGUGGGGAGCAACAGGAUUAGAUACCCUGGUAGUCCACGCCCUAAAAACGAUGUCAACCACGUUGGGGCUUCGGGCCCGGUAGCGCAGCUAACGCAGUGAAGUUGACCCGCCUGGGAGUACGGUCGCAAGAUUAAAACUCAAAGGAAUUGACGGGGACCCGCACAAGCGGUGGAUGAUGUGGAUUAAUUCGAUGCAACGCGAAAAACCUGCCUACCCUUGACAUGUUCCUGGAACUCGGAAGAGAUUUGGGAGUGCUCGCAAGAUAACCGGAACACAGGUGCUGCAUGGCUGUCGUCAGCUCGUGCUUGAUGUUGGGUUAAGUCCCGAAAACGAGCGCAACCCCUUGCCGUUAGUUGACACGAAAGGGCACUCUUAAUGAGAUCGCCGGUGACAAACCGAUAAAGGUGGACAUCAAGUCCUCGCGGUCUCUUAUGCGGGUAGGGCUUUCACACGUCAUACAAUUGUCGUACAGAGGGUCGCCAACUCGCGAGGGGAGCCAAUCCCAGAAACCCGAUCGUAGUCCGGAUCGCAGUUCGCAAACUCGACUGCGUGAAGUCGAAUCUCGCUAGUAAUCGCGGACUGGCAUGUCGCGGUGAAUACGUUCCGGUUCGUACACCGCCUGGCUUCGCCACCAUGGGAGUGGGCUUUACCAGAAGUAGUUAGCCUAACCGGGUAAGGAGGGACGAUUACCACCAGAGGAUUCAUGACGGGUGAAGUCGCACAAGGCAG